AUACGGAGGGUGCGAGCGUUGUUCGGAAUUAUUGGGCGUAAAGCGCGUGUAGGCGGCGUGGUAAGUCGGGCGUGAAAUCCCGGGGCUCAACCCCGGAACUGCACUCGAAACUGCCUGGCUAGAGUCCCGGAGAGGAAGGCGGAAUUCCCGGUGUAGAGGUGAAAUUCGUAGAUAUCGGGAGGAACACCAGUGGCGAAGGCGGCUUUCUGGACGGUGACUGACGCUGAGACGCGAAAGCGUGGGGAGCAAACAGAAGUAGAAACCCCUGUAGUCC
RNAcentral lists this ribosomal RNA (274 nucleotides) under uncultured bacterium. RNAcentral's name for it is "partial 16S ribosomal RNA". It matches the Rfam family "Bacterial small subunit ribosomal RNA", at positions 523 to 796 of the family's 1533-position model. The record is from RNAcentral.